UUAAGUUCAGCGGGUAUCCCUACCUGAUCCGAGGUCAAAGACGGUAAAUGUGCUUGUUGGACGCGAGCCGUAGCCCCUCGAGAAGCGCAAUGUGCUGCGCGAGAGGAGGCAAGGACCGCUGCCAAUGAAUUUGGGGCGAGUCCACGCGCGGAGGCGGGACAGACGCCCAACACCAAGCAGAGCUUGAGGGUGUAGAUGAC
RNAcentral lists this unclassified non-coding RNA (200 nucleotides) under uncultured Leptosphaerulina. RNAcentral describes it as "sequence contains ITS2". The record is from RNAcentral. Lineage: Eukaryota; Fungi; Ascomycota; Dothideomycetes; Pleosporales; Pleosporaceae.